This is a long non-coding RNA of Alosa sapidissima (American shad), 339 nucleotides long. RefSeq lists it as uncharacterized. Lineage: Eukaryota; Metazoa; Chordata; Actinopteri; Clupeiformes; Clupeidae. The record is from RefSeq and is a predicted model, not a curated record. The transcript is spliced from 3 exons.
GGGGGGAGUGUCUCCUCAGUCAUUCACUUCAUCCUACUAGUCAUUUCUGUCACCACGCGGUCUCCGCACUGUUGGCUCAUCCAAAGACGCGAGAUGAUUCAGGGAGCGGAGGUUGGGAGGUAACAGGCCAUGCCAGCUGGCUCGCUGAAAUGUGCCAGUGCUUUGAGCUGCGCCGCAGGACCUCUGGGAUUUGGGUGGUAUUUGCUGAGAACUGUCAACAGUUGACCUCCCAUUCCUACAGACUUUCCCUGACAACAGCUCAGUGCAAGGAACUUGGAACAGACUGUCUUGCUGGGUAAAGACUUAAAUCUUUGUCUGCUCAAAAAAAAGUCCUGAAUU